Molecule: ribosomal RNA, 727 nt
Filed under: Chloroflexota bacterium
Lineage: Bacteria; Bacillati; Chloroflexota
Description: bacterial SSU rRNA
Rfam family: Bacterial small subunit ribosomal RNA
Source: RNAcentral
AAAUGACGAGUUUGAUCCUGGCUCAGGAUAAACGCUGGCGGCGUGCCUAACACAUGCAAGUCGAACGCCCUGUUCUUCUUCGGAGGAAGAGGGAGUGGCGGACGGGUGAGUAACACGUGGGCAAUCUACCCACAGGUGAGGAAUACCGGGGGAGGAGCCUGCGGCGGAUUAGCUUGUUGGCGGGGUAAGGGCCCACCAAGGCUGUGAUCCGUAGCUGGUCUGAGAGGACGGCCAGCCACACCGGGACUGAGACACGGCCCGGACUCCUACGGGAGGCAGCAGUUAGGGAAUUUUCGCACUGGGCGCAAGCCUGACGAAGUGACGCCGCGUGCGGGACGAAGGCCUUCGGGUCGUAAACCGCUUUUGUGGGGGACGAGACGGACGGUACCCCGCGAAUAAGCCCCGGCUAACUACGUGCCAGCAGCCGCGGUAAUACGUAGGGGGCGAGCGUUGUCCGGAAUUACUGGGCGUAAAGCGCGUGCAGGCGGUCCAUUAAGUUCAGAGCAACAGUCACCGGCUUAACCGGUGAAGGCCUUUGAAAACUGGUGGACUUGAGAGCGAGAGAGGGAUAUGGAACUCCAGGUGGAGCAGUGAAAUGCGUAGAGAUCUGGAAGAACACCAAGGCGAAGGCAGUAUCCUGGCUCGUUUCUGACGCUCAAACGCGAAAGCCAGGGGAGCGAACGGGAUUAGAUACCCCGGUAGUCCUGGCCGUAAACGAUGACCACUA